This 463-nucleotide ribosomal RNA is filed under the name Isostichopus macroparentheses. RNAcentral's name for it is "partial 16S large subunit ribosomal RNA". It matches the Rfam family "Bacterial large subunit ribosomal RNA", at positions 1941 to 2596 of the family's 2925-position model. The record is from RNAcentral. Lineage: Eukaryota; Metazoa; Echinodermata; Holothuroidea; Aspidochirotida; Stichopodidae.
CUUGACCGUGCAAAGGUAGCAUAAUCACUUGUCUCUUAAAUGGGGACCCGUAUGAAUGGCUCUUCAUUCUCUAACUGUCUCCCUUCUUUUCCCUCUAAACUUCUAUUUACGUGAAGAAGCGUAAUUACAUCAGAAAGACGAGAAGACCCUGUCGAGCUUCAGCUAAGUCUAAGACAAGACACUCAUAACCCUUUUAGGUGAACAUCAUCUCCUAGACUAGGCUUUGGUUGGGGCAACCAUGGAGUAAAAGCAGCCUCCAGUUUUUCAGGAAGAAAACCAUUCUCCUAAUACCACUUUGAGAACCAAAGAAUUUUGGUAAACGGAAAAAGUUACCGCAGGGAUAACAGCGUUAUCUUUUUUGAGAGUUCUUAUUGACGAAAAGGAUUGCGACCUCGAUGUUGGAUUGGGGUAACCGGAGGGUGCAGCAGCUCUCGGAGGUUGGACUGUUCGUCCAUUAAUUCCC